This 484-nucleotide ribosomal RNA is filed under the name uncultured bacterium. Its description in RNAcentral is "partial 16S ribosomal RNA". It matches the Rfam family "Bacterial small subunit ribosomal RNA", at positions 30 to 507 of the family's 1533-position model. The record is from RNAcentral.
AUUGAACGCUGGCGGCAGGCCUAACACAUGCAAGUCGAGCGGAUGAAGGGAGCUUGCUCCUGGAUUCAGCGGCGGACGGGUGAGUAAUGCCUAGGAAUCUGCCUGGUAGUGGGGGAUAACGUCCGGAAACGGGCGCUAAUACCGCAUACGUCCUGAGGGAGAAGGUGGGGGAUCUUCGGACCUCACGCUAUCAGAUGAGCCUAGGUCGGAUUAGCUAGUUGGUGGGGUAAAGGCCUACCAAGGCGACGAUCCGUAACUGGUCUGAGAGGAUGAUCAGUCACACUGGAACUGAGACACGGUCCAGACUCCUACGGGAGGCAGCAGUGGGGAAUAUUGGACAAUGGGCGAAAGCCUGAUCCAGCCAUGCCGCGUGUGUGAAGAAGGCCUUCGGAUUGUAAAGCACUUUAAGUUGGGAGGAAGGGCAGUAAGUUAAUACCUUGCUGUUUUGACGUUACCAACAGAAUAAGCACCGGCUAACUUCGUG